GCUCGGGUGGUGGAAUUGGUAGACACACACGUUUGAGGGGCGUGUGCCGAAAGGCGUAAGGGUUCGAGUCCCUUCCCGAGCACCA
This 85-nucleotide transfer RNA is filed under the name Verrucomicrobia bacterium IMCC26134. RNAcentral's name for it is "tRNA-Leu (GAG) (tRNA-Leu-GAG-1-1)". It matches the Rfam family "tRNA". From Rfam's summary of the family: Transfer RNA (tRNA) molecules are approximately 80 nucleotides in length. Their secondary structure includes four short double-helical elements and three loops (D, anti-codon, and T loops). The record is from RNAcentral. Lineage: Bacteria; Pseudomonadati; Verrucomicrobiota. RNAcentral also lists the same sequence under 6 other names.